Molecule: long non-coding RNA, 572 nt
Organism: Amphibalanus amphitrite
Lineage: Eukaryota; Metazoa; Arthropoda; Thecostraca; Balanomorpha; Balanidae
Exons: 3
Source: RefSeq, a predicted model, not a curated record
GGCGCAGUAAAUACGGUUACGACGCUCAUUUUGUUGCAGCGGUUGCAGGUAUUGUGUAAUUCGGGCGGAGAGCAAGACAAGAUAAUAUAUCCUAAUUUGUUGCAAAAAUGUCGGGAGUUGCGUUUGGAGCAAGGCAAAUGGCUCAGUUGAAGAACUGGAUCCCCACGCUGGCCACCUUCGGCGGCUUCGCAGCGCUGACCGGAUGCUACAUCACCGACUGGCAGGUGGUCUGCGGGUACAUCCCCUUCUACAACCAAAAAUUCAAAGAGGACUCCAACGAAUGAUUUAAUCAAUUGUCUUUGUGUGACAGGGAAAACUUGUAUGAAACCGUGUCGGAUACCGCAUCACACGUCGGCGUCUUGGCCCUACGAGCUGCAGCCACCCGAGGCCGUCCGGCGACGGCCAACAGUAGGUCAAACAUCCGUCAGCAGUGAAUGACACAACAGGCUCCGAUGGCCUGGCCGGGUAUCUAUUCGAUUGACGGUUUUCCGCAAUAUUGUGCUACCAUCGUCUCACCAUGUGUGCGAGUGUGAUUGGCUGCGCAUUUUUAACAAAUAAAAUGCGUGGUGAAA